Molecule: ribosomal RNA, 253 nt
Filed under: uncultured bacterium
Lineage: Bacteria
Description: partial 16S ribosomal RNA
Rfam family: Bacterial small subunit ribosomal RNA
Source: RNAcentral
UACGUAGGGUGUGAGCGUUAAUCGGAAUUACUGGGCGUAAAGCGUGCGCAGGCGGUUUUGUAAGCCAGAUGUGAAAUCCCCGGGCUUAACCUGGGAAUGGCAUUUGGGACUGCAAGGCUUGAGUGUGGCAGAGGGGACUGGAAUUCCUGGUGUAGCAGUGAAAUGCGUAGAGAUCGGGAGGAACAUCAGUGGCGAAGGCGGCCUUCUGGACCAGUACUGACGCUGAGGCACGAAAGCGUGGGGAGCAAACAGG